UCAAUAUUUGGUGCAUGUUUUAUGUAAUCAUAUGGGAAUAUACAUCUGUAAGACUGAUUGAUAUUGUCAAUAAUCAUUUUAAACAUUUGACAUAUAACUUGUGUGCUUCUCUACUAAAUAGAGUCAAAUGUUGUGAAUAGGAACACUAUUUUUUGAAUUAUUUCUGUUCUGGUUGUUCCCCUUGAAUUGUGUGAAAUUUUGGAAUUACUAUAAAAUACAAACAAAACACAGGAUACAGUUCAGAAAUGUUGCAUUUAAUUCAUUAAACAUUAUAUUUCAAUAUAACAAAAGCUUUUUCGUUUUAUUUUGCAUAUAUUAAAAAACUUAAUUGCAAAAUGCAAAAUUUUAAAAUUGUGUAUAUCAUACGAAAAUUGAUACAUGUAUUCCAGAAAUGUGUUGCGGUAACAAAUCGAACAUAAUUUUGCAUAUAUCUUUUAACCGCUAUGGUUUAGAUUAUGGAAAACAAAGGGAGGUAAUAAUGUUAAAACCAUUGCUAAUUUUAGGAAAAUUUCACGUGUGCUGGUUUCGCACUGGAAAACAAUGUUUAAACUCAUAUUUGUGUAAUAGCAUCUACAUUUGCACAUUUUCUGAGCUUGAAUACUAAAAUAAGCAAGAUAAGUCUGCAGUUUUGUAGAAAAAGUUGGUAAAAAUAGACUGUCGUACUGUUUGACGUGGUCGCAGUUUAAAAGGGAGAACAAGUGGACCCCGAGAACGGUUACACGCAUUCAAGACAUCGUUAGCCACAGAAUCACCCAACCGCACGACACUUUCCAGCCAGUUCAUGUGUCAACGAGUGCAAAUUGUGAAAGAUGGCUUGGAAAAAUGGGAGUUCAAAGCGCCACCUUGCAACAAACAGCGCGAUGGAAACAGCUGUGGAGUGUUUGCAUUGAUGACUGCAGAAUGUUUGGUCAGGAAAAAGCAUCCCACAAUGUUGCGACAGGCCCAUGUUUCAGUUUAUCGAGACUAGUCAUGAAACGCAGACUUCUGAUUCAUGGAGUGCGGCAAACAUAUCUGUGCGACUCGAUCACUCCACUGUAAAGACCCGCACGACAUUAAAAUGGAUAUCAUGCGACGUUUGCAAACGAUGGCUGCAUGAGGUCUGCGUCUCACAACCAACAUCCCAAGAUAGCUUUGUGUGUGAGGUUUGUAUUGCACAAUAUACAUGUAGUUGAUGUAUUGAAACCAGGCUUUAAAAAUAAAACAAGGUCAACUACAAUUUAAAAUUAAAACUAGAAAUGGCGUGGCAGAGGUCGACGAGUAUCCCCACGCCGCAUGUUAGACCCAGAGGCGCCCUAGGGUUGGUAAUAGGGCCAUGCAUAGUCGAGGCUUUUUUUAUUCUGGUGGUGGUGAAAAUGUUAAAAUCGAAGUCCUUAAUACAAGAGUAAAAUUCACUUGGAUUUAGGUCCUCAUCCUGCUCUCCUAACAAAUCUAAUACUGAAUCAACUUCACUGACGUCCAUUAUGUACAUAUCAUCCUCAUUGGAAUGAGAUGGCUGAACAUACUCUGUUUUAGCCAAUCUUCUUGCAUCUGCUUUGGAAAAGUUAUGUUUUGAGGUUAAAUGGUUGACUAAAUAGUAGCGUCUCAGAAAUUUUCUAUCGCAAUCUUGUACACAACAAUGAAAAUGUUAAAUUUCAUGUCUGUCUUUGAUGUGCCUGUUCAAGAGUCCUUUUUGCUUUAAAUUGUUUGUCACAUUUUUCACACUUGAACAUUUUGAAAGAUUUUCAGUAAUGAGUCUAAAAGUGUGAUUGAACAAAUUGAAAGUUUCAGCCCUUUUAUAGAUUCUUGAGGCUCUAUUCCAUGAGUUUCUCAUGCUUUUUAUGCUUGACUGCAUUCUAUUCCUUUCUCUCAAAUACAGGUGUCCCUUUGCACCAAUAUUUUAUAAUCCCUUAUUAAACAUUAGAUGGAUGAGCUAAACCAUUUCACAGAUGAGUAAACACAAAUAAUUGACUACUAAAUACAUCUCUGCGCCACUCCUGUGUAACUCUAGAUAUGUUUUCAAUACACAAGCUUCAUUGUUGAAUAAUUCCUUUGUCUGAUGAAAAUGCUUGCACUUCUUCUGAUUGGGUAGAUAACCACUUAAUAGAUUUCGAAAUCUAAACGCGGACCUUAAGUUCAAGGUCAAGGUCACAGGGGUCAAAACUGUUUAAUGCGCAUGGAAAGGUCUUGUCCAGAUACACAUGCAUACCAAAUAUGAAAGCAAUAUCUAAAGGGACACAGUAAGUAUGAGCCUUUUUCGAAUCGUGUUCGCAGACUUUGAAACCUAAACGCUGGCCUAAAGUUCAAGGUCAAGGUCACAGGGGUCAAAAAUUGUAUGCACAUGGUAAGGUGUUGUCCAGAUACACAUUCAUACCAAAUAUUAAACCAAUAUCUGAAGGGACACAGUAGUUAUGAGCCUUUUUCGAAUCGCGGUCGCAGAUUUAGAAACCUGAAUGCUGACCUCAAGUUCAAGGUCAAGGUAGCAUGUACAAAACUGUAUGCGCAUGGAAAGGUGUUGUCUAGAUACACAUACAAACCAAAUAUGACAGCAAUAUCUGAAGGGACACAGUAGUUAUGAUCCUUUUUCGAAUUGCGGUCACAGAUUUCAAAACCUGAAAACUGGCCCAAAGUUCAAGGUCAAGGUCACAGGGAUAAAAAAAAUUAUGCGCAUGGAAAGGUGUUGUCCAGAUACACAUGCAUACCAAAUAUAAAAGCAAUAUCUGAAGGGACACAGUAUUUAUGAGCCUUUUUAUAAUCGCGGUUGCAGAUUUCGAAACCUGAAAACUGACCCCAAGUUCAAGGUUAUAGGGGUAAAAAAUUGUGUGCGCAUGGAUAGGUGUUGUCUAGAUACACAUACAUACCAAAUAUGAAAGCAACAUCUGAAGGGACACAGUAGUUAUGAGCCUUUUUCAAAUCGCGGUCACAGAUUUCGAAACCUUAAAACUGACCCAAAGUUCAAGGUCAAGGGGUAAAAAAUUGUAUGCGCAUGGAUAGGUGGUGUCUAGAUACACAUGCAUACCAAAUAUGAAAGCAAUAUCUGAAGGGACACAGUAGUUAUGAGCCUUUUUCGAAAUGCGGUCGCAGGAAAAUCUCUGACCCGGCCCCACCCUGACCCCAAUAACUUUUGGCCCAGGGGUCAGAUCAAAAUUCCGUCGCUGUCACCGUCGCCUAUAUGCUCAUAGCUGCCAUGUGUGUGUAAGUUUCAAGGUUCUAGGGCUAAUAGUGUAGGAGAUAAUAGUGUCCAGGACGGACAGAUAGACGGCGGAGCUAAACACAAUAUCCCCACGCUUUUAAAAAAACGUGGGAUAAAAAAAAAAGGUAAAGAUGAGCACUAAAAUUGUGUUUGUACAUGGUUUACCUGCAUAAAUAGUUUGAAAUUGCAUAUAUAUUUAAAUUUUAGAACAACAAAAUAAAUGUUGAAAAUGGUUCAUGAUAGUUCUAUGUAUAUUGUUAAAUCACUCAUUUUAGGGCAAUUAUAAUUUUUUGUUUAAAAAGGCAAUCUUACUCAACAUCUGCGGAUUUAAGGUGAUACAUGUAUUGAUACUGAUUUAAAGUUGAUGCCAUGUUUUAUACAGAUAACUUGAAUGUACUGAUAGUUUUCAAUUAAUUGCUUUGUAACUGAAAUAAUGAAUUUUUUACCACCUUCCUGUUACUUUUAAUUUAGUGUUUUGUGGAAAAUGAGAUUUUCAUGUUAAAAAGUAUGCAUUAUUCAAGAUAGAUUAAAUCAAAGACAACUGUUGAUACCUGCACAUUGAUAAUAUUUCUUUCCUUAUGUGUGUAAUUUCCUAUCCUUGACAUGCAUAAGUAAUCAUGUAAGAAACAAUUUGUUUGCAGCUGGUUAUUACUGCAUGUGUAAUUUCUAUUCAAAAUGAUGGUUUUAAUAACAUGUGAUUCAAUGAGAAAUACAUUUCUCAACUGUAACAUUUCUUAAUUUAUAUAUGAAUCAUAUUUACUUUAUCAUGUGCUCAUGCAUACAUGUUGCUUAUUGUUGAUGUCUUAAUAAACCAAGAGUAUA
Long non-coding RNA from Dreissena polymorpha, 3991 nucleotides. RefSeq lists it as uncharacterized. The transcript has 4 exons. The record is from RefSeq and is a predicted model, not a curated record. Lineage: Eukaryota; Metazoa; Mollusca; Bivalvia; Myida; Dreissenidae.